This is a long non-coding RNA of Hirundo rustica (Barn swallow), 725 nucleotides long. RefSeq lists it as uncharacterized. The transcript is spliced from 4 exons. Lineage: Eukaryota; Metazoa; Chordata; Aves; Passeriformes; Hirundinidae. The record is from RefSeq and is a predicted model, not a curated record.
GAAGAAGGAGGGUCUGGAGGAAGGAUCCUGAGGAAGGAGAUAGUGAAGGAAUGAUCUGGAAGGAUUGGAGGAGUGGGUGAAACAGGAGAGAGAAUCCCUGUUCUGAGGUGAAGGCUUAGCUAAUGCAUUCCACCUGCCGGAGUCACCAGGGGAACUCCAGAGACAAGCUUCAAUCUGCUCUCAAAGGCUUCUAGUGCCACAUCUAUUGGAUUGAUAAACAGCAAAGGACUCCACUCCAUGGACUUCAAAUCACUACCUGGGAAACUGCAAUGGUUGGAGCUGCAAUGGGCUGAUGGAUAAAGCUCCUAUCUCAUCCUCUUUAUCUGGGAUUCUGGAAUGUAUUCAUGCAUCAGGAAAGCUCCUGCUGAAACAACAUUCAGCUGUAGUGCUGCUGCUGAUGGUUAUGAGGAAGGCAGAGCAAGAUAAGCCAAGGCUGAGUGAAAUAUCCCCUCUUUGUAAUGCAGAGGGUUGAGAAUUUGUUUGGCUUAUAAAAUGGGACAGUCUUGACCUUAAAGCAAACCAGAAGUUUCUUCCAGAUUUGAAAUACCUCAGAAUUAAGGAAUUUCCUCUUUCCUCCCUAUCUGGAUCUUCUGUUUUGUCAAAAGCCCGUAAGAGACUGUUCAGUCAUGUGAAGAUCUCAUGAAUUUUAAAGUUUUGUGUCUGUCGGCGCAGAUGGGCACUGGCAACGCUUGGCACUGCAGCCGAGAGCUUGGCAGGCAUUACCA